ACUCAAAUGAAUUGACGGGGGCCCGCACAAGCAGUGGAGUAUGUGGUUUAAUUCGAAGCAACGCGAAGAACCUUACCAGGGCUUGACAUACUAGUGAAUAGGGUAGAGAUAUCCUAGUCCUUCGGGACACUAGAACAGGUGGUGCAUGGUUGUCGUCAGCUCGUGUCGUGAGAUGUUGGGUUAAGUCCCGCAACGAGCGCAACCCCUGUUGUUAGUUGCCAGCAUUAAGUUGGGCACUCUAGCAAGACUGCCGGUGACAAAUCGGAGGAAGGUGGGGACGACGUCAAAUCAUCAUGCCCCUUAUGUCCUGGGCUACACACGUACUACAAUGGCUAUUACAGUGGGAUGCCAAGCCGCAAGGUGGAGCCAAUCCCCAAAAAUAGUCCCAGUUCAGAUUGUGGGCUGAAACCCGCCCACAUGAAGUCGGAAUUGCUAGUAAUGGCAGGUCAGCAUACUGCCGUGAAUACGUUCCCGGGCCUUGUACACACCGCCCGU
Molecule: ribosomal RNA, 495 nt
Filed under: uncultured bacterium
Lineage: Bacteria
Description: partial 16S ribosomal RNA
Rfam family: Bacterial small subunit ribosomal RNA
Source: RNAcentral